AAAAAACCAAGAAUGCAUCAUUUGAUAAAAGGACUUUUCAAGGAGAUAUAUUAUCUAAUAAUGAGAUAUUGUUUGGAUUCCAAUGCAAAAUUUUGAUAAAUUAUUAGAAAAUUUUUAAUAUAGUUAGAAUGUUUUGUGUAUGUUAUACUAUUUGAAUUGUAAUUUUUUAUGUGAAAAUGCAAUAUGUGAAAAACAUAGUAUGCUUUUAUUUACUUUUAUAUAAAUGGUUUAUAUUUAAUUUUUAAAAAUAUUAUCCUUUCCAUUAGGGGUGGCCAUUGGAUCGAAACUG
RNAcentral lists this unclassified non-coding RNA (289 nucleotides) under Hevea brasiliensis (rubber tree). Lineage: Eukaryota; Viridiplantae; Streptophyta; Magnoliopsida; Malpighiales; Euphorbiaceae. The record is from RNAcentral.